GACGAACGCUGGCGGCGUGCUUAACACAUGCAAGUCGAACGGAAAGGCCCUGCUUUUGUGGGGUGCUCGAGUGGCGAACGGGUGAGUAACACGUGAGUAACCUGCCCUUGACUUUGGGAUAACUUCAGGAAACUGGGGCUAAUACCGGAUAGGAGCUCCUGCUGCAUGGGGGGGGUUGGAAAGUUUCGGCGGUUGGGGAUGGACUCGCGGCUUAUCAGCUUGUUGGUGGGGUAGGGGCUUACCAAGGCUUUGACGGGUAGCCGGCCUGAGAGGGUGACCGGCCACAAUGGGACUGAGAUACGGCCCAGACUCCUACGGGAGGCAGCAGUGGGGAAUAUUGCACAAUGGGCGGAAGCCUGAUGCAGCAACGCCGCGUGCGGGAUGACGGCCUUCGGGUUGUAAACCGCUUUCGCCUGUGACGAAGCGUGAGUGACGGUAAUGGGUAAAGAAGCACCGGCUAACUACGUG
Molecule: ribosomal RNA, 468 nt
Filed under: uncultured bacterium
Lineage: Bacteria
Description: partial 16S ribosomal RNA
Rfam family: Bacterial small subunit ribosomal RNA
Source: RNAcentral